RNAcentral lists this transfer RNA (73 nucleotides) under Isobaculum melis. It matches the Rfam family "tRNA". From Rfam's summary of the family: Transfer RNA (tRNA) molecules are approximately 80 nucleotides in length. Their secondary structure includes four short double-helical elements and three loops (D, anti-codon, and T loops). The record is from Rfam by way of RNAcentral. Lineage: Bacteria; Bacillati; Bacillota; Bacilli; Lactobacillales; Carnobacteriaceae.
GAGCCAUUAGCUCAGCUGGGAGAGCAUCUGACUUUUAAGCAAAGGGUCGCAGGUUCGGCCCCUGCAUGACUCA